GGGUUGUGAGGUUAAGCGACUAAGCGUACACGGUGGAUGCCCUGGCAGUCAGAGGCGAUGAAGGACGUGCUAAUCUGCGAAAAGCGUCGGUAAGGUGAUAUGAACCGUUAUAACCGGCGAUGUCCGAAUGGGGAAACCCAGUGCAAUUCGUUGCACUAUCGUUAACUGAAUACAUAGGUUAACGAGGCGAACCGGGGGAACUGAAACAUCUAAGUACCCCGAGGAAAAGAAAUCAACCGAGAUUCCCCCAGUAGCGGCGAGCGAACGGGGAGCAGCCCAGAGUCUGAAUCAGCUUGUGUG
Molecule: ribosomal RNA, 300 nt
Filed under: Klebsiella pneumoniae
Lineage: Bacteria; Pseudomonadati; Pseudomonadota; Gammaproteobacteria; Enterobacterales; Enterobacteriaceae
Description: partial 23S ribosomal RNA
Rfam family: Bacterial large subunit ribosomal RNA
Source: RNAcentral